Molecule: ribosomal RNA, 492 nt
Filed under: uncultured bacterium
Lineage: Bacteria
Description: partial 16S ribosomal RNA
Rfam family: Bacterial small subunit ribosomal RNA
Source: RNAcentral
AGUGAACGCUGGCGGUAGGCCUAACACAUGCAAGUCGAACGGCAGCACAGUAAGAGCUUGCUCUUACGGGUGGCGAGUGGCGGACGGGUGAGGAAUACAUCGGAAUCUACUUUUUCGUGGGGGAUAACGUAGGGAAACUUACGCUAAUACCGCAUACGACCUACGGGUGAAAUCAGGGGAUCUUCGGACCUUGCGCGAUUGAAUGAGCCGAUGUCGGAUUAGCUAGUUGGCGGGGUAAAGGCCCACCAAGGCGACGCUCCGUAGCUGGUCUGAGAGGAUGAUCAGCCACACGGGAACUGAGACACGGUCCAGACUCCUACGGGAGGCAGCAGUGGGGAAUAUUGGACAAUGGGCGCAAGCCUGAUCCAGCCAUACCGCGUGGGUGAAGAAGGCCUUCGGGUUGUAAAGCCCUUUUGUUGGGAAAGAAAAGCAGCAGGUUAAUACCCCGCUGUUCUGACGGUACCCAAAGAAUAAGCACCGGCUAACUUCGUG